AAUAUUGGACAAUGGGGGUAACCCUGUCCCAGUCUUGCCGCGUGUUUGAAGAUGAUAAUCUGUAAGUAAAGAAUUUCAUGUAGGGAGGAUGGGUUGUUGGCUAAUAUCCAGCAAUUUUGCCAUUCCCGACAUAAUAUGCUCAGGCUAACUCUGAGCUCGCAGCCGCGGUAAUACAGAGGCUGAAAGUGUUAACCGGAAUUACUGGGCGUAAAGCGCGCGUAGGUGGUUCAGUAACAUGGGUGUGAAAUCCCCGGGCUUAACCUGGAAACUGCUUUCAUAACUGCUGAGCUAGAGUACGGUAGAGGGUAGUGGAAUUUCCUGUGUAGCGGUGAAAUGCGUAGAUAUAGGAAGGAACACCAGUGGCGAAGGCGACUACCUGGACUGAUACUGACACUGAGGUGCGAAAGCGUGGGGAGCAAAC
Molecule: ribosomal RNA, 421 nt
Filed under: uncultured bacterium
Lineage: Bacteria
Description: partial 16S ribosomal RNA
Rfam family: Bacterial small subunit ribosomal RNA
Source: RNAcentral